RNAcentral lists this ribosomal RNA (433 nucleotides) under uncultured bacterium. Its description in RNAcentral is "partial 16S ribosomal RNA". It matches the Rfam family "Bacterial small subunit ribosomal RNA", at positions 29 to 507 of the family's 1533-position model. The record is from RNAcentral.
AACGAACGCUGGCGGCAUGCCUAACACAUGCAAGUCGAACGAGACCUUCGGGUCUAGUGGCGCACGGGUGCGUCACGCGGGGGAACCUGCCCUUAGGUUCGGAAUACCUCCCCGAAAGGGGUGCUAAUACCGGAUAAUGUCUUCUGACCAAAGAUUUAUCGCCCUUGGAUGGGCCCGCGUUGGAUUAGCUAGUUGGUAGGGUAAAAGCCUACCACGGCGACGCUACAUAGCUGGUCAGAGAGGCUGAUCAGCCACACUGGGACGGAGACACGGCCGAGACUCCUACGGGAGGCAGCAGUGGGGAAUAUUGGACAAUGGGCGAAGGCCUGAUCGAGCAAUGCCGCGUGAGUGAUGAAGUCCUUAGGGUUGUAAAGCUCUUUUACCCGGGAUGAUAAUGACAGUACCGGGAGAAUAAGCUCCGGCUAACUCCGUG